ACAGCAUGGAACAGGGCUCCACAAGGACAUGAAUACCAGGUGGCAGGGAUCACUGGGCCAUCUCUCUAAAUCAGGAAUGAAACAUUUGCAACCUGUGUCUCCCAAACAUGAUAUGUUUCAAUCAUCAAAGGAUCUACAGUGACUACGAUAACCAAGUGCUACAAAAACGCUGUGACAGGGAAUCUGAACAAUAGAGAUUUGAGGGAAACAAAGCACUUUCGACAAAGGUCCUGCUGCUUGUCUUCAGCUCGGUACCAAUUAGAG
RNAcentral lists this long non-coding RNA (264 nucleotides) under Pan troglodytes (chimpanzee). Its description in RNAcentral is "long non-coding RNA NONPTRT004294". Lineage: Eukaryota; Metazoa; Chordata; Mammalia; Primates; Hominidae. The record is from RNAcentral.